Molecule: ribosomal RNA, 262 nt
Filed under: uncultured bacterium
Lineage: Bacteria
Description: partial 16S ribosomal RNA
Rfam family: Bacterial small subunit ribosomal RNA
Source: RNAcentral
GUCCAUGCCGUAAACGAUGUCUACUAGCCGUUGGGCCUUUGAGGCUUUAGUGGCGCAGCUAACGCGAUAAGUAGACCGCCUGGGGAGUACGGUCGCAAGACUAAAACUCAAAUGAAUUGACGGGGGCCCGCACAAGCGGUGGAGCAUGUGGUUUAAUUCGAUGCAACGCGAAGAACCUUACCUGGCCUUGACAUACAGAGAACUUUCCAGAGAUGGAUUGGUGCCUUCGGGAACUCUGAUACAGGUGCUGCAUGGCUGUCGU